This 460-nucleotide ribosomal RNA is filed under the name uncultured bacterium. RNAcentral describes it as "partial 16S ribosomal RNA". It matches the Rfam family "Bacterial small subunit ribosomal RNA", at positions 338 to 795 of the family's 1533-position model. The record is from RNAcentral.
CCUACGGGAGGCAGCAGUGAGGAAUAUUGGUCAAUGGACGAGAGUCUGAACCAGCCAAGUAGCGUGAAGGAUGACUGCCCUAUGGGUUGUAAACUUCUUUUAUAAAGGAAUAAAACGAGGCACGUGUGCCUUUUUGCAUGUACUUUAUGAUUAAGGAUCGGCUAACUACGUGCCAGCAGCCGCGGUAAUACGGAGGAUCCGAGCGUUAUCCGGAUGUAUUGGGUUUAAAGGGAGCGUAGAUGGGUUGUUAAGUCAGUUGUGAAAGUUUGCGGCUCAACCGUAAAAUUGCAUUUGAUACUGGCAGUCUUGAGUACAGUUGAGGUAGGCGGAAUUCGUGGUGUAGCGGUGAAAUGCUUAGAUAUCACGAAGAACCCCGAUUGCGAAGGCAGCUUACUAAACUGUGACUGACAUUGAUGCUCGAAAGUGUGGGUAUCAAACAGGAUUAGAUACCCGGGUAGUC